This is a non-coding RNA of Pelobates cultripes (western spadefoot toad), 258 nucleotides long. The record is from the annotation of a GenBank genome assembly. NCBI's taxonomy places the organism in Eukaryota, Metazoa, Chordata, Amphibia, Anura, Pelobatidae.
GGUUACUACUGUCCUCUCUGGUGGUGUAUGUGACUGUAUAACUAUUAAGAGUAGAUGAUUGGAUUGAAGGAAUAAGGGGCAUGAACUGGAGAAAUUGGAUAAGGGAUGAAUUUGUCCAAACUGCAUUGGGAAUAUGGCUUGGGAGCAUGAAUUAUGAACCUGGAAAGGAUAGCAUUGGAAAAUCAAAUUUAAACUGAACUGGGGGUGUUUUAGGAUAUGUUGUGAUUAAUAAAAAAGAAUGGACUAGGUAAAACAUUU